UUUCCAUAGGUGAACCUGCGGAAGGAUCAUUAAUGUGUUUGGGCCUCACGGCUCUUCAUUCCGACGCUGUGCGCCUUCGGGCUGCACGCUGAGGGAGCAUAUAUCCACCCCUGUGCACACACACGGUGGCGAGCUUGGUAACGGCUCGCCGCUUAUCUUUACACACGUCUAAAAGUCAUUGUAUGUUUAUUUGAGAUAAAAACACAACUUUCAGCAACGGAUCUCUUGGCUCUC
Molecule: unclassified non-coding RNA, 234 nt
Filed under: plant metagenome
Description: partial contains small subunit ribosomal RNA, internal transcribed spacer 1, and 5.8S ribosomal RNA
Source: RNAcentral